UACGAAGGGUGCAAGCGUUGUUCGGAAUUAUUGGGCGUAAAGGGUUUGUAGGCGGUAAGACAAGUCAAGUGUGAAAUGCCCGAGCUCAACUUGGGGAGUGCAUUUGAAACUGUUUUUCUUGAGUGUUGAAGAGGGUGGCGGAAUUGCUGGUGUAGGAGUGACAUCCGUAGAGAUCAGCAGGAACACCGGAGGCGAAAGCGGCCACCUAGUCGACAACUGACGCUGAGGAACGAGAGCGUGGGGAGCAAACAGG
RNAcentral lists this ribosomal RNA (253 nucleotides) under uncultured bacterium. Its description in RNAcentral is "partial 16S ribosomal RNA". It matches the Rfam family "Bacterial small subunit ribosomal RNA", at positions 524 to 776 of the family's 1533-position model. The record is from RNAcentral.